GCAUGAUAUCAGAGAAUCAGCGUGGAGGGGACGCGCGAGUUCUUUAUCAGCAGAUUUCCUGCAGCUGAGCGUGAUGUCUGUAGCGCCGGGACAUUUUAUCCACAAUGUAAUUAACUAUUAGAUCAAUAUAUAAUCUACAGCGUAUAUAAGUGGAUAGAGUUUGGGGGGGGGCACCAGACAGACAGACAGACAGACAGACAGCAUGGGAACCCUUUCAUGUAUAAUAUUGUCAAUGUUUAGAGCCCUAGAGUAAUGGACAGACAGACAGAUGGACAAAUGAAUGGACAGAGAGACAGAAGGAUGGGCACACAGACGGAUGGACGGACAGGUGGUUAGACAGACUGACGGACAUACGAUUGGACAGGCAGAUGGAUGGUGGAUGGGAAGACCGACAGUCAAACAAAUGCAUGGAUGGACAGAUAUACAGAAGGAUGGAUAGUCAGAUGGACAGGGAGACAAAUGCGCAUCUAGAUGGUCAGAUGGACAGACACAAAUGAAUUGAUGGACAGCUUGGUCAGACAGAUUGAUGGACGGAUGGACAUAUGGAUGAAUGGGCAGAUGAAUGGACAAUCCAAACCGACGGAUGGACAGACAGACAGUUGAAUGGAUGGGCGUUCAGAAAUGACAGACGCGCAGACGAACUGACGGGCAGGUACACAGACGGUCAGAUGGACGUACAGAUGGACAGAUUGAUGGACGCACAGACAGACCGACAGGUAGAUGAAUAAUAACAUGCGUGCAUAAAUAAUAGACAUAUAACAGUAUAUCAUCUUUCAAAUCCAUUCUAAACUCCAUGCUAAGCAGGUCGGAAUGAUGUACAGAACGUGACAGCUAGAGACAGGGCAAGCUCUUUUCUGUGAGGGCUGUUGUGUUUGAGUGCGCUACUGGGAGAGACAUUUGUCCUCUGGCUCUCAGCACACACUGUCUUCACAUCUGAGAACUCACCUCAAUCAAAAUGUACACACACGGCACUGCGACAUGAAAGCCUACGGCUAUGAAUUUUUUUUUUUCUCUUGAAAGGCGAUGCAUACAGUAAACCAGGAUGCCCUACCGCAUUGGCUAUACACACAGGAGACAUUUUUCCAACAUCAUGUCAUUGUUUUGUUUUUAUUUUAUUUCAUUUUAUCUCUCAAAGAGAUGUGCAGCAGUGCCACAGGCUACACUUUUUCUUUCUCCCCCCAUGUUGACGUGAUGCAAUUAAGACCAACCAAUCUUCCCUUUCUCCUCCUCCUCCCCCCC
Ictalurus punctatus (channel catfish) is the source of this 1239-nucleotide long non-coding RNA. NCBI's taxonomy places the organism in Eukaryota, Metazoa, Chordata, Actinopteri, Siluriformes, Ictaluridae. The record is from Ensembl.